Molecule: non-coding RNA, 23 nt
Filed under: Mus musculus (house mouse)
Lineage: Eukaryota; Metazoa; Chordata; Mammalia; Rodentia; Muridae
Source: RNAcentral
UCCAGUGUCGUCCUCGUGCGGGG